Molecule: ribosomal RNA, 500 nt
Filed under: uncultured bacterium
Lineage: Bacteria
Description: partial 16S ribosomal RNA
Rfam family: Bacterial small subunit ribosomal RNA
Source: RNAcentral
AUUGAACGCUGGCGGCAUGCCUUACACAUGCAAGUCGAACGGCAGCACGGGAGCAAUCCUGGUGGCGAGUGGCGAACGGGUGAGUAAUGUAUCGGAACGUGCCCAGUCGUGGGGGAUAACGCAGCGAAAGCUGUGCUAAUACCGCAUACGAUCUAUGGAUGAAAGCGGGGGAUCGCAAGACCUCGCGCGAUUGGAGCGGCCGAUAUCAGAUUAGCUAGUUGGUGGGGUAAAAGCUUACCAAGGCGACGAUCUGUAGCUGGUCUGAGAGGACGACAAGCAACACUGGAACUGAGACACGGUCCAGACUCCUACGGGAGGCAGCAGUGGGGAAUUUUGGACAAGGGGCGCAAGCCUGAUCCAGCAAUGCCGCGUGCAGGAUGAAGGCCUUCGGGUUGUAAACUGCUUUUGUACGGAGCGAAAAGGCUCUCUCUAAUACAGGGGGCUCAUGACGGUACCGUAAGAAUAAGCACCGGCUAACUACGUGCCAGCAGCCGCGGUAA